UACGGAGGGUGCAAGCGUUAAUCGGAAUUACUGGGCGUAAAGCGCGCGUAGGCGGUCGAAUAAGUCGGAUGUGAAAGCCCCGGGCUCAACCUGGGAAUUGCAUUCGAUACUGUUCGGCUAGAGUUUGGUAGAGGGUGGUGGAAUUCCAGGUGUAGCGGUGAAAUGCGUAGAUAUCUGGAGGAACAUCAGUGGCGAAGGCGACCACCUGGACCAAAACUGACGCUGAGGUGCGAAAGCGUGGGGAGCAAAC
RNAcentral lists this ribosomal RNA (250 nucleotides) under uncultured bacterium. RNAcentral describes it as "partial 16S ribosomal RNA". It matches the Rfam family "Bacterial small subunit ribosomal RNA", at positions 524 to 773 of the family's 1533-position model. The record is from RNAcentral.